AGAGUUUGAUCAUGGCUCAGGACGAACGCUGGCGGCGCGCCUAACACAUGCAAGUCGAACGAGAGAGAGGAAGCUUGCUUCCUUAAUCGAGUGGCGAACGGGUGAGUAACGCGUGAGGAACCUACCUCAAAGAGGGGGACAACAGUUGGAAACGACUGCUAAUACCGCAUAAGCCCACAGCUCGGCAUCGAGCAGAGGGAAAAGGAGUGAUCCGCUUUGAGAUGGCCUCGCGUCCGAUUAGCUUGUUGGCGGGGUAACGGCCCACCAAGGCGACGAUCAGUAGGGGUUCUGAGAGGAAGGUCCCCCACAUUGGAACUGAGACACGGUCCAAACUCCUACGGGAGGCAGCAGUGAGGAAUAUUGGUCAAUGGACGGGAGUCUGAACCAGCCAAGUAGCGUGCAGGACGACGGCCCUAUGGGUUGUAAACUGCUUUUAUAGGGGGAUAAAGUGUGCCACGUGUGGCAUAUUGCAGGUACCCUAUGAAUAAGGACCGGCUAAUUCCGUGCCAGCAGCCGCGGUAAUACGGAAGGUCCGGGCGUUAUCCGGAUUUAUUGGGUUUAAAGGGAGCGUAGGCCGUCUUAUAAGCGUGUUGUGAAAUGUCGGGGCUCAACCUGGGCAUUGCAGCGCGAACUGUGAGACUUGAGUGCGCAGGAAGUAGGCGGAAUUCGUCGUGUAGCGGUGAAAUGCUUAGAUAUGACGAAGAACUCCGAUUGCGAAGGCAGCCUGCUGUAGCGCAACUGACGCUGAAGCUCGAAAGCGUGGGUAUCGAACAGGAUUAGAUACCCUGGUAGUCCACGCGGUAAACGAUGGAUGCUCGCUGUUUGCGUCUGACGUAAGCGGCCAAGCGAAAGCGUUAAGCAUCCCACCUGGGGAGUACGCCGGCAACGGUGAAACUCAAAGGAAUUGACGGGGGCCCGCACAAGCGGAGGAACAUGUGGUUUAAUUCGAUGAUACGCGAGGAACCUUACCCGGGCUUGAACUGUAGGCGAACGAUUCAGAGAUGAUGAGGCCCUUCGGGGCGCCUAUGGAGGUGCUGCAUGGUUGUCGUCAGCUCGUGCCGUGAGGUGUCGGCUUAAGUGCCAUAACGAGCGCAACCCUUGUUCGUAGUUGCCAUCGGGUUAUGCCGGGCACUCUGCGAAGACUGCCUCCGUAAGGAGUGAGGAAGGUGGGGAUGACGUCAAAUCAGCACGGCCCUUACGUCCGGGGCUACACACGUGUUACAAUGGCAUGUACAGAAAGCUGGGUGUAUGCAAAUACGCUCGAAUCCCUAAAACAUGUCUCAGUUCGGACUGGGGUCUGCAACCCGACCCCACGAAGCUGGAUUCGCUAGUAAUCGCGCAUCAGCCAUGGCGCGGUGAAUACGUUCCCGGGCCUUGUACACACCGCCCGU
Molecule: ribosomal RNA, 1391 nt
Filed under: uncultured bacterium
Lineage: Bacteria
Description: bacterial SSU rRNA
Rfam family: Bacterial small subunit ribosomal RNA
Source: RNAcentral